Non-coding RNA from Otolemur garnettii (small-eared galago), 301 nucleotides. Lineage: Eukaryota; Metazoa; Chordata; Mammalia; Primates; Galagidae. The record is from Rfam.
UGCUCACUCUUUCUGUGAUGGACACAGGUAUGUAGCGAGAGAGACAUUGAGUCUAGAGCUGCUUUUAGGGACCUGCUGAUGGCAUAGCCCUCUCUCUCUCUGGGAGGCUGAGUGCACCAUCACAGUGAGGCAGUCAGGAGCCAGGGCUUCCAUGACACCUGCCUAGCUCUGUACCUGGGGGGAGGGGCGGAAUCUGGUAAAAAUGUUCCAGAGUUGCUCUUGGGUACCUACUUGGCAUAUUCUUCUCAAUGUCUAAUGUGGUAAUUUUAGUAUUUAUAACCUCAUUUGAUCAUAUAUUUUG